This 22-nucleotide ribosomal RNA is filed under the name Stereocaulon vesuvianum var. nodulosum. RNAcentral describes it as "partial 28S ribosomal RNA". The record is from RNAcentral. Lineage: Eukaryota; Fungi; Ascomycota; Lecanoromycetes; Lecanorales; Stereocaulaceae.
CGGAUCAGGUAGGGAUACCCGC